GUAAAGGCAGUGACGAGGAGUAGUAGCCUAUCCCUUCCCCUACAGAGAGCCGGUGGUUGGUGCAAACCGGUGAGGAAGCAGGUGAACUCGCCUCUGAGCCGUCGCGGUGAACAACGACCGUUUUAUUUCCUUUGGGGAGUGCGGCGUUGCUAGCUGCGGCCGUCGACCCGCGUAAAGGGUGAAAGAGGUCCGCCGCAGGCGGACGAAUGAGGGUGGUACCGCGGAAGCUUUUUGAAGCCUUCGCCCCUUGC
This 251-nucleotide non-coding RNA is filed under the name Geobacter sp. Its description in RNAcentral is "T-box sequence". It matches the Rfam family "T-box leader". From Rfam's summary of the family: Uncharged tRNA acts as the effector for transcription antitermination of genes in the T-box leader family. T-boxes are found upstream of many aminoacyl-tRNA synthetase genes and some amino acid biosynthetic genes usually in Gram-positive bacteria. The record is from RNAcentral. Lineage: Bacteria; Pseudomonadati; Thermodesulfobacteriota; Desulfuromonadia; Geobacterales; Geobacteraceae.